AGACCCGAAACCCGGUGAUCUAGCCAUGGGCAGGUUGAAGGUUGGGUAACACUAACUGGAGGACCGAACCGACUAAUGUUGAAAAAUUAGCGGAUGACCUGUGGCUGGGGGUGAAAGGCCAAUCAAACCGGGAGAUAGCUGGUUCUCCCCGAAAGCUAUUUAGGUAGCGCCUCGUGAAUUCAUCUCCGGGGGUAGAGCACUGUUUCGGCUAGGGGGCCAUCCCGGCUUACCAACCCGAUGCAAACUGCGAAUACCGGAGAAUGUUAUCACGGGAGACACACGGCGGGUGCUAACGUCCGUCGUGAAGAGGGAAACAACCCAGACCGCCAGCUAAGGUCCCAAAGUCAUGGUUAAGUGGGAAACGAUGUGGGAAGGCCCAGACAGCCAGGAUGUUGGCUUAGAAGCAGCCAUCAUUUAAAGAAAGCGUAAUAGCUCACUGGUCGAGUCGGCCUGCGCGGAAGAUGUAACGGGGCUAAACCAUGCACCGAAGCUGCGGCAGCGACACUUAAGUGUUGUUGGGUAGGGGAGCGUUCUGUAAGCCGUUGAAGGUGUGCUGUGAGGC
RNAcentral lists this ribosomal RNA (562 nucleotides) under Salmonella enterica subsp. arizonae. RNAcentral describes it as "partial 23S ribosomal RNA". It matches the Rfam family "Bacterial large subunit ribosomal RNA", at positions 711 to 1269 of the family's 2925-position model. The record is from RNAcentral. Lineage: Bacteria; Pseudomonadati; Pseudomonadota; Gammaproteobacteria; Enterobacterales; Enterobacteriaceae.